RNAcentral lists this long non-coding RNA (2152 nucleotides) under Triticum aestivum (bread wheat). RNAcentral describes it as "long non-coding RNA (TAES_LNC009985)". The stretch from base 1440 to 1564 matches the Rfam family "MIR1120/MIR1122 microRNA precursor family". Lineage: Eukaryota; Viridiplantae; Streptophyta; Magnoliopsida; Poales; Poaceae. The record is from RNAcentral.
UAAUGUGCAGGUACAGAAUUAUCAUCAUAGCAAAUAGAAUCAUCUGAAUAUUGUUUGGAGGAUAACAAUUCCUCAAAUUGGCUCAUUUAAUUUAGACCGUACGCCCGGUUAUUGUUGUCUUGGUUACUGCAUUUGUUCAAACUACAAAAUACAUAUUCUUUUCAGUCAUGUAUAUUCGUACUGGCUUAACUAAUUAAUGAAUUCAUCAAAUGCCCUUGCUUAUGAUAGUAUCUCUUUGCCAUUUUCCUCUGCAUGCUUCUUUUCUAGGCUAUCUGUCUUUCCAUACCCUGCUCUCCUUACUUAUUUUAUUAUUAGUCGAAUAUAAUAUCAGAUCACCUACCAUCAUUGUUCUUUAUUACAAUCUCAUAGGAAAGAAGUCUGAUUAGUUGGGUAUUCUUAGCUAGCAUUCAAAAUGGGAUGUUGCACUGCCAUUAAAUGAGCAUAAAUAUAAUGAGAAGGUGCACACAAAGUGGAGGCUUAGAUUAAUGCUUUAGAGUUUAGCCUGAAUAUAGCCAAUCAGUAUUCUUACUAGGCUGAUGUUUAAGUACCUAUGCAACAAUAUCAGAGGGAUGCAGCACCUAAAAUAUGUAGGGUUUGUAAGCUUGGAGCAAGAGUGCAAUGGAAAAUGUUUACUGUUUUCCAUUGAAACAGAUAAGAAAGUAAUUUAGUUUGGGUGGAUUGAUUAGUUAUAAAAAGUAGAUGGUCCUUCGCUUGGAUCUUUAGGUUUAGUCAUUGCUUUUCUACUUCAAACCGACGGAUUUAUCUUCAGCUAAAAAAAGGACAGCGGGCUUGGUUAGCUUCAAGAAGAAAAAUAUUUCAAAACCGUGUAGCUAUAGAGAAAUAUUCCAUGUCUAUUUCCCUGAUUUCCAGUCCACUUUAUGAAAGCCUGAUGUAACUGUUUGCGUAAGUGGUUGUAUGAUAUGUUGAAUAUGCUGUGUCGGGCUAGACGGAUAUGUUUGCUUGUCGUUGGAAAUAUUCACCUGUUGUGUUCUGCAUUGACCUGCAUUUAUAUUGGCAGCUCUGUUCUUAUUUGUCUCUGUUCUGAUAGUUUUAGGUGAGAACAGAGUAUUUAUAGUUGUGACAUGCACUACAGGCUUUUCAUAAUUAUUAAUUCUUUAAAUGUGACUGUGCCACCGUGCCGACAGAUAUGUGUGCCUCAGUUUAGUUGAUGUGCCUACCGUGUUUCAGGCGUGUUGUUUUUCUUAGAUAAUCAUAAAUUGACAGGGUGCUUGCUGGUAUUAGUUAAAAACUUAAAAUAUCUUACAUUAGGAUGUACUGUGUUGUGCUUUCAUGCAAUUGUCUUGAUUUAGACAGCAACUGAACCAAGUCACUGAUUAGUAGAAUUAGUCAUGAGAUGAGGCACAGAAGAGUCGAGAGGGGCAGCCGUCGUAUUUACGAUGCAUGAAAAUGGCUCAUGAUUCCAUUCAAGUAAUGGAUAUAUAGUACUCCCUCCGUCCUAAAAUACUUGUCGGAGAAAUGAAUAAAAAUGGAUGUAUCUAAAACUAAGAUAUGUCUAGAUACAUCCAUUCCUUCGACAAGUAUUUCCGGACAGAGGGAGUAGUUGCUAAUUAUAUUUAUACUGAUUGCAAGCAUAAUUAGCCUAUUGUCUAUGUAGUUUGCUGAUUAUACACUCUUUUCGUUCAUGUUUCACCCUCCUAAGGCAUUUGUUUUGUCUGCCGCAGGUUGCUUUUGUCCUCUCACCUGGUCUUUGGUCUUCGUCUAUUGCUCUGCUGGCUUGUCAUCUCCUCGGUUGGAGGUUGUUCUUGGUCCUGCCAUUUGUUCUUGUUAGAGCUCACUGAAAAUAUUUGUUCUCACCUAUGCUAAUGCCUUUCGGUUAAACUAGGAAUUAUUUCAUUGUUGGAAGCUUUCAUCUGCAUAUAUGCGUAAGGGGCUGUGUAUUUAUUUUGUUUCAUUCAUUUUUUGGUCUAUUUAUUUUGCACAGAAAACCAUUUGUGGUAUGCUUUGAUGGGUCUUAUUUAAUACAAUAUAGACAAAAUUGGAAGUAGUAGCAAACCAGCCAUGAAAAUUUUGAGAGAACUAUGCUAACCACAAGCAAUGAUGUACUCCUGGAUUUUGCCAUGAUAUUGUAGCCCACUUCCAAGACUCUAUGUACUAAUGUUAGCUACUUGCUUCUUUAGCUGCUCUAAUUAGG